GUUCGUGCUAAAGGCCUAUUUCCUAGGUUACAAGGUGAGGGCUUGCUCCUCAUCUAGUUGCAUAGGGGAAAGUCCCUGGAUCUUGGGAAGAAAGUGCCACGUGCUUACACAUGUAGAUUCCCGUGUCUCAUGCUUAGCCCCCCAAGAAGCAAACCAAAACACAGUAAGUUUUAUCAGUGAGAACCCAGAACUUUUAAGAAAAAAUCAAUAAACAGUAGAAUACAGAGCAACAUAUUUUGGAGUCAUAAACCUGUAUAUAAUGAAAUUUGGGGGGCUAGGGUAAAGGUUUGCGACACAAUGCACAUUUAGCAUUCU
RNAcentral lists this long non-coding RNA (315 nucleotides) under Octodon degus (degu). Its description in RNAcentral is "RNase MRP (ENSODEG00000025901.1)". It matches the Rfam family "RNase MRP", at positions 1 to 200 of the family's 266-position model. From Rfam's summary of the family: RNase MRP is an enzymatically active ribonucleoprotein with two distinct roles in eukaryotes. In mitochondria it plays a direct role in the initiation of mitochondrial DNA replication. In the nucleus it is involved in precursor rRNA processing, where it cleaves the internal transcribed spacer 1 between 18S and 5.8S rRNAs. The record is from RNAcentral. Lineage: Eukaryota; Metazoa; Chordata; Mammalia; Rodentia; Octodontidae.